CCUACGGGAGGCAGCAGUGAGGAAUAUUGGUCAAUGGGCGCGAGCCUGAACCAGCCAAGUAGCGUGAAGGAUGAAGGCCCUACGGGUGGUAAACUUCUUUUAUAAAGGAAUAAAGUGAGGCACGUGUGCCUUUUUGUAUGUACCUUAUGAAUAAGGAUCGGCUAACUCCGUGCCAGCAGCCGCGGUAAUACGGAGGAUCCGAGCGUUAUCCGGAUGUAUUGGGUUAAAAGGGAGCGUGGGCGGAGGCACAAGUCAGCGGUAAAAUCGCGGGGCUCAACCCCGCCCCGCCGUUGAAACUGUGUCCCUUGAGUGCGCGAGAGGUAGGCGGAAUGCGUGGUGUAGCGGUGAAAUGCAUAGAUAUCACGCAGAACUCCGAUCGCGAAGGCAGCCUACCGGCGCGCAACUGACGCUCAUGCACGAAAGCGUGGGUAUCGAACAGGAUUAGAUACCCGUGUAGUC
RNAcentral lists this ribosomal RNA (459 nucleotides) under uncultured bacterium. Its description in RNAcentral is "partial 16S ribosomal RNA". It matches the Rfam family "Bacterial small subunit ribosomal RNA", at positions 338 to 795 of the family's 1533-position model. The record is from RNAcentral.